CCCUUAGACGUUCUGGGCCGCACGCGCGCUACACUGACCAGUGCAACAAGCAUCCGUCCUUGGCCGACAGGCCCGGGCAAUCUUUGAACGCUGGUCGUGAUGGGGAUAGACUUUUGCAAUUUUUGGUCUUCAACGAGGAAUUCCUAGUAAACGCAAGUCAUCAACUUGCAUUGAUUACGUCCCUGCCCUUUGUACACACCGCCCGUCGCACCUACCGAUUGAAUGGUCCGGUGAAGCCUCCGGAUUGGCGCGCACCUCGGUGCCGCCGAGAAGUUGGCUAAACCUUACCAUUUAGAGGAGGGUGAAGUCGUAACA
RNAcentral lists this ribosomal RNA (315 nucleotides) under uncultured eukaryote. RNAcentral's name for it is "partial 18S ribosomal RNA". It matches the Rfam family "Eukaryotic small subunit ribosomal RNA", at positions 1470 to 1796 of the family's 1831-position model. The record is from RNAcentral.